CAGAGUUGCAAAACUCCCACAAACCAUCGCGAAUCUUACCCGUACGGUUGCCUCGGCGCUGGCGGUCCGGAAGGCCCUCGGGCCCCCGGAUCCUCGGGUCUCCCGCUCGCGGGAGGCUGCCCGCCGGAGUGCCGAAACCUAAACUCUUGAUAUUUAUGUCUCUCUGAGUACACUUUUAAAUAAGUCA
RNAcentral lists this unclassified non-coding RNA (187 nucleotides) under soil metagenome. Its description in RNAcentral is "partial internal transcribed spacer 1". The record is from RNAcentral.